GAUCCUGGCUCAGGAUGAACGCCAGCUACAGGCUUAACACAUGCAAGUCGAGGGGAAACGACAUCGAAAGCUUGCUUUUGAUGGGCGUCGACCGGCGCACGGGUGAGUAACGCGUAUCCAACCUGCCCACCACUUGGGGAUAACCUUGCGAAAGUAAGACUAAUACCCCAUGAUAUCUCUAGAAGACAUCUGAAAGAGAUUAAAGAUUCAUCGGUGAUGGAUGGGGAUGCGU
RNAcentral lists this ribosomal RNA (232 nucleotides) under uncultured bacterium. Its description in RNAcentral is "partial 16S ribosomal RNA". It matches the Rfam family "Bacterial small subunit ribosomal RNA", at positions 15 to 236 of the family's 1533-position model. The record is from RNAcentral.